RNAcentral lists this long non-coding RNA (1025 nucleotides) under Gallus gallus (chicken). RNAcentral's name for it is "long non-coding RNA NONGGAT003893". Lineage: Eukaryota; Metazoa; Chordata; Aves; Galliformes; Phasianidae. The record is from RNAcentral.
GUUUUGUGGAGGCAUUCUUAGCCAUGUAGGACUGUGUGACGGUGCUCUUAAGAAACAACAAGGAGCUGCCUCCAUGGAAUUCAGAUGUAAACUUUUCUGGCACAAGACUUAAAGGGCAUAAAACUUGCCUCUUUGUGAAACUACGUACACUUACCCACUCUGAGAACAUUUAGAUAGUUGGUUUCUACUGAGCUUUGUUAUCCCACAUAUGUUCUUCUGCUGGAGCCUUUUAUGUCAGAAAACCUUUGAAGAGUGGGAGUAGCUCUUUAAAUUUAUCUGGAAGCAGUGGGGUUUCUUUUACAAUUGGCUGUUGCUGCUCACGUCGUUUUAUUUCAAGAGACGUACCAUAUACUCUACCGAAGACCAUAUUUUUUCUGUCGAGAUCAUCUCCUCCUUGUGAAUCAGAACGGGAAAGCAAAGAAGCUCUUGGAAGCUCAAGGAAGAACAUCUUGCCCUUAGUUUCUUGAAAAGAAGCUGCUUCCAAGGAUGAAACCCUCUGAUUUAGAAGGGAAAUUCAGAAGGAUUUUUAAUAGUGAAGAAAACAGGAAGGGAUGACACGGGAGGUAAUUGAUAUCACACGUUGAUGAAGGAACAUCUGAAACUGUAGAAAGGCUAACAGAAGUAUUUGGCUAAAUCUAAGAUAGUCCAAAAGAUGACUACACUGUAAAGUCAGUCCAUCGUACUACUAAUGUAACGAAUCCUGUGUCACAGAGCUGUUUUUCCCAUUCUAAUAUGCAUUAAAUACAAAAUCCAUUGAUCAGUACUGUUAGUAGUGACACCUGCUUGACUGACAAGUAACACUGUGUUACUGGAGUGCCUCUUCCAUACAACCUUUUAAGUCAAAUGUUCUCUAGUUAUGGAUGUUCAGUUCUUGGUGUACAACAGGUUCUAGCUGACUUCCACUGAAUUCAUCAUCUACCAGUAAUUCUGCUCUUUAAAAAUAAAUCAGAUUCUUUCCUUUCCACAUACCCAAUCUUUGCAUUACUAUUUCACUCGUACACAUUCCCUCCACGCUCUGUUGGCAG